UAAGCCGUAGAGAACCAUUGUUGCAUCAUCUUUGAAGAGAGAGAGGGACUUGUGUCUCUGAAACUCGAGAUCUUGUUUCUGAUCUGGUGAUCUAUCGCCUUAUAGAUAACACCCACCGUUCUGAAAGGCCUUGCAUGGAUCCGACCGUUCCGUUCAUUCCAAAUCCAAUAGAGAGUAGCUUGCCAAACGAGGAGGGAGAUCAAUGUAACCGCUUUUCCACCCCUUAGGGAACCCAUCUGUGCUACCGUUUGCUCCCACGAACUGACAGGAGCGAGGCAACACCGAGUGGAGAGACGCGACCAUAGUUCAAAGUUGAAAGCGCAAUCGAAAAAGAGAUGAUUGCGAGACUCUGGGUGCAUGUUGCAUAGCACACAAGUUUGAUCCACCUGAAGACCCCAGCUUCUCAUUCGAUCCUUUGUUGGACAACGAUUCAAAUAGACUAGCCAAGCGUGGAAAGAGUGGCGUGGAAUAGCAUGAGGAAACCAAAUCAUCUUAGUCCAUCUUUUGAUCUCUAUUUCUCCUCUGAUGUAGCAGACACCAGUUCCCAUUCCGAUAUAGCGAAGCAACCGUUGCUUUAUGCGGAAUACCAAGUCUCGAGUUGGAGGAAGACGUGAUAGCGGUAAUGCAACCCAUUGGAGCUCAAUUAUGAUGCCAGAAUAAAGCCGAUCUUCCAUUUUCUAGCCUCAGCUUAAUGAGGGGAAAGAUAAUAGGUCGAAGCUUUAUCAAUUUGUUUACUAACCAGGAGUGAGAUUGGCUUGGCUUAAUUGUCCAGUAGUUGUGCAAUGAGCCUUUGAGGAUUACUUCUUUAAACCAGAUCACCCACACUGAGUCCUCUCCGAAGAAGAUCAUCCAAAUGAGGAGUAGGCAACACGCUUUGUUCCAGGCUUUAGGGAGUAUAUAGGCAGAGUACCAGAAGGUCGUGAUUCCCGUUAUCACUGUCUUUAUAAGAAGCAGCCGACCCGA
Long non-coding RNA from Brassica oleracea var. oleracea, 963 nucleotides. RefSeq lists it as uncharacterized. The record is from RefSeq and is a predicted model, not a curated record. The transcript is spliced from 3 exons. Lineage: Eukaryota; Viridiplantae; Streptophyta; Magnoliopsida; Brassicales; Brassicaceae.